AGUGAACGCUGGCGGUAGGCCUAACACAUGCAAGUCGAACGGCAGCACAGUAAGAGCUUGCUCUUACGGGUGGCGAGUGGCGGACGGGUGAGGAAUACAUCGGAAUCUACUUUUUCGUGGGGGAUAACGUAGGGAAACUUACGCUAAUACCGCAUACGACCUACGGGUGAAAGCAGGGGAUCUUCGGACCUUGCGCGAUUGAAUGAGCCGAUGUCGGAUUAGCUAGUUGGCGGGGUAAAGGCCCACCAAGGCGACGAUCCGUAGCUGGUCUGAGAGGAUGAUCAGCCACACUGGAACUGAGACACGGUCCAGGCUCCUACGGGAGGCAGCAGUGGGGAAUAUUGGACAAUGGGCGCAAGCCUGAUCCAGCCAUACCGCGUGGGUGAAGAAGGCCUUCGGGUUGUAAAGCCCUUUUGUUGGGAAAGAAAAGCAGCAGGUUAAUACCCCGCUGUUCUGACGGUACCCAAAGAAUAAGCACCGGCUAACUUC
This 489-nucleotide ribosomal RNA is filed under the name uncultured bacterium. Its description in RNAcentral is "partial 16S ribosomal RNA". It matches the Rfam family "Bacterial small subunit ribosomal RNA", at positions 29 to 504 of the family's 1533-position model. The record is from RNAcentral.